AUUCUAAAAUAGACAUCAAGCUAUUGCUCUUUCGCUCCAAAAGAAAGUUGUUUUCAUGAUCCUUUUCAAUCAACAAUUCAAGCUAUAUUUGACCAUUAGUCAGUCGGUUAAAAAGGUUAUAGACUCAUAUUCUCUCUGCUCAAGCUUCAAAUAGGCUUGGCUACCUAGCUUAACUAAUUUUUGUCAUAUGUUUCAAAUCUUUGGAAUCCUACUAUUCUAGUGAUACCAAAGGAGCUGCCUUUUAAGACUUAGUGGGUUCUCUGGUUUAGUUUUGGUCAAGCUUGAAGCAGAAUUUCCUUUCUACAGCUCAUACCUACUUUAGCUUUGGUCCUUGUCUCACCUCCAAGGCAUUUCCUCUAAUGACAAAAGUUAGUUUCCCUAACAGACACCAAAAUGGCCGCAACCAAAACCUUAUAGCUAUAUAUAAUCGGGAAGGAGAGGGGUGUUGGUAGAAUGCCAUGCAAAAUAAACGAACUAAAAACAGCUGUUAAAGAGCUAAAUAAUAUGAGUAAGUAAAGAAGUCAUGUUCAACAAAAUUCUCUAGCCUACAGAACCCAGUACAACUAUUAAACUGUACCAACACACAAAGCCGCACAUAGCAUUAUUGCCUGUUACCUUCCUUCCAAUUAUCUCAGCAACCAAUUAAAAUCCAAAAAGCUCCCAAAAACAAGGAGGGGAAGGGUAAAAAAUAAAAAUAACAAUAACUGAUAUAACUUCACCCAAAAUACUGGCUGAAACUGAUUUUCCCACUUAUAAUAAUAAUAAAACAAUAAAAAUCGAAACUUUUCUUUUCCUCAGUCGUUUGACUAUUAGGGAAAAAAAAUACCCGGGACAGGGCAACGGCGGCGCAAGCCAAAUUGAGUUUACAUUUCAAGAACAUCUGGUACUCCUCGGAAUCCACCGGAAUAUUCGGAGGAGCACCAGGAGCA
Molecule: unclassified non-coding RNA, 929 nt
Filed under: Hevea brasiliensis (rubber tree)
Lineage: Eukaryota; Viridiplantae; Streptophyta; Magnoliopsida; Malpighiales; Euphorbiaceae
Source: RNAcentral